This 302-nucleotide ribosomal RNA is filed under the name uncultured bacterium. Its description in RNAcentral is "partial 16S ribosomal RNA". It matches the Rfam family "Bacterial small subunit ribosomal RNA", at positions 508 to 807 of the family's 1533-position model. The record is from RNAcentral.
GCAGUAGCCACGGGAAUACGGAGGAUCCAAGCGUUAUCCGGAAUCAUUGGGUUUAAAGGGUCCGUAGGCGGUCUUGUAAGUCAGUGGUGAAAGCCCAUCGCUCAACGGUGGAACGGCCAUUGAUACUGCAGGACUUGAAUUAUUGGGAAGUAACUAGAAUAUGUAGUGUAGCGGUGAAAUGCUUAGAGAUUACAUGGAAUACCAAUUGCGAAGGCAGGUUACUACCAAUUGAUUGACGCUGAUGGACGAAAGCGUGGGUAGCGAACAGGAUUAGAUACCCGCGUAGUCCCUGUCUCUUAUAC